Molecule: transfer RNA, 91 nt
Filed under: Gammaproteobacteria bacterium
Lineage: Bacteria; Pseudomonadati; Pseudomonadota; Gammaproteobacteria
Description: tRNA-Ser
Rfam family: tRNA
About the family: Transfer RNA (tRNA) molecules are approximately 80 nucleotides in length.
Source: RNAcentral
GGAGAGAUGGCCGAGCGGCUGAAGGCGCGCCCCUGCUAAGGGCGUAUACGUUGAUAGCGUAUCGAGGGUUCGAAUCCCUCUCUCUCCGCCA